This is a small nucleolar RNA of Zingiber officinale, 96 nucleotides long. RefSeq annotates it as small nucleolar RNA Z266. The record is from RefSeq and is a predicted model, not a curated record. NCBI's taxonomy places the organism in Eukaryota, Viridiplantae, Streptophyta, Magnoliopsida, Zingiberales, Zingiberaceae. The transcript has a single exon.
AAUUGGCAGGGGUGAUGAAUCAAUUAGAUGUGCUAAGGAACACUUUUUCUAAUGAGCUGAACUUUUGAGGCAUAUUAAUAUUCUGACCUGCCAAAU